RNAcentral lists this ribosomal RNA (252 nucleotides) under uncultured bacterium. RNAcentral describes it as "partial 16S ribosomal RNA". It matches the Rfam family "Bacterial small subunit ribosomal RNA", at positions 524 to 775 of the family's 1533-position model. The record is from RNAcentral.
UACGAGGGGUCCUAGCGUUGUUCGGAAUUAUUGGGCGUAAAGAGUACGUAGGCGGCCAGAUAAGUCAGGUGUGAAAUCCCCGGGCUCAACCCGGGAAGUGCAUUUGAUACUGUCUGGCUUGAGUAUGGAAGAGGGUAGUGGAAUUCCGGGUGUAGUGGUGAAAUACGUAGAUAUCAGGAGGAACACCGGUGGCGAAGGCGGCUACCUGGUCCUAUACUGACGCUGAGGUACGAAAGCGUGGGGAGCAAACAG